CCUGUCUCGUCUUUCCGCCAAGCUAUACAUGUUAAGAUCCUUUAACCUUUCCUGGUAAGUUUUAUCCCGCAAUCCAUGAACCAGUUUAGUAGCCCUUCUCUGAACCCUCUCUAAGGUAUCAAUAUCCUUCUGAAGAUACGGUCUCCAGUACUGUGUACAAUACUCCAAGUGAGGUCUCACCAGUGUUCUGUAUAAUGGCAUGAGCACUUCCCUCUUUCUACUGCUAAUACCUCUCCUAUACAACCAAGCAUUCUGCUAGCAUUUCCUGCUGCUCUAUUACAUUGUCUGCCUACCUUUAAGUCAUCAGAAAUAAUCACCCC
Molecule: long non-coding RNA, 320 nt
Filed under: Pelobates cultripes (western spadefoot toad)
Lineage: Eukaryota; Metazoa; Chordata; Amphibia; Anura; Pelobatidae
Source: RNAcentral